UCUUCGAUAGUAUAGUGGCUAGUAUAUUGCCUUGUCAGGCCUUCACCAGGCCCAGCGCGGCAGAGACCCGGGUUCAAUUCCCGGUCGAAGAG
This 92-nucleotide transfer RNA is filed under the name Rhodotorula diobovata. RNAcentral describes it as "Rhodosporidium diobovatum tRNA". It matches the Rfam family "tRNA". Rfam says of the family: Transfer RNA (tRNA) molecules are approximately 80 nucleotides in length. Their secondary structure includes four short double-helical elements and three loops (D, anti-codon, and T loops). Lineage: Eukaryota; Fungi; Basidiomycota; Microbotryomycetes; Sporidiobolales; Sporidiobolaceae. The record is from Rfam by way of RNAcentral.